UUUAAAGUGGCAGAAACAAUUAUGCAUUGGAUUUAAGCUCCAAAGAUGGGUAGCCCCUUUAAAA
RNAcentral lists this transfer RNA (64 nucleotides) under Artemia sinica. Its description in RNAcentral is "tRNA-Leu". Lineage: Eukaryota; Metazoa; Arthropoda; Branchiopoda; Anostraca; Artemiidae. The record is from RNAcentral.